UGGGGAAUAUUGCACAAUGGGCGAAAGCCUGAUGCAGCUACGCCGCGUGAGCGAUGAAGGCCUUUGGGUCGUAAAGCUCUGUCCUUGGGGAAGAAAAAAAUGACGGUACCCUUGGAGGAAGCCCCGGCUAACUACGUGCCAGCAGCCGCGGUAAUACGUAGGGGGCAAGCGUUAUCCGGAAUUAUUGGGCGUAAAGGGUGCGUAGGUGGUUUUGUAAGCGCGGGGUGAAAGGCAAUAGCUCAACUAUUGUAAGCCUUGCGAACUGUAAGACUUGAGUGCAGGAGAGGAAAGCGGAAUUCCUAUUGUAGCGGUGAAAUGCGUAGAUAUUAGGAGGAACACCAGUGGAGAAGGCGGCUUUCUGGACUGUAACUGACACUGAGGCACGAAAGCGUGGGGAGCAAACA
Molecule: ribosomal RNA, 404 nt
Filed under: uncultured prokaryote
Description: bacterial SSU rRNA
Rfam family: Bacterial small subunit ribosomal RNA
Source: RNAcentral